GACGAACGCUGGCGGCGUGCUUAACACAUGCAAGUCGAACGGAAAGGCCUGCUUUCCCUUGUGGAUUGCGGGUACUCGAGUGGCGAACGGGUGAGUAACACGUGAGUGAUCUGCCCCCAACUUGGGUAUAAGCCUGGGAAACUGGGUCUAAUUCCCGAUAGGACUGCAGGGUGGUGCCUGUGGUGGAAAACGAUCUUCUAGUGGUUGGGGAUGAGCUCGCGGCCUAUCAGCUUGUUGGUGGGGUAAUGGCCUACCAAGGCGGCGACGGGUAGCCGGCCUGAGAGGGUGGACGGCCACAUUGGGACUGAGAUACGGCCCAGACUCCUACGGGAGGCAGCAGUGGGGAAUAGUGCACAAUGGGCGGAAGCCUGAUGCAGCGACGCCGCGUGGGGGAUGACGGCCUUCGGGUUGUAAACUCCUUUCGACCGCGAGGAAGCCACCUGGUUGGAAGGGUGGUGACGGUAGUGGUAGAAGAAGCACCGGCUAACUACGUG
This 494-nucleotide ribosomal RNA is filed under the name uncultured bacterium. RNAcentral's name for it is "partial 16S ribosomal RNA". It matches the Rfam family "Bacterial small subunit ribosomal RNA", at positions 28 to 507 of the family's 1533-position model. The record is from RNAcentral.